This 253-nucleotide ribosomal RNA is filed under the name uncultured bacterium. Its description in RNAcentral is "partial 16S ribosomal RNA". It matches the Rfam family "Bacterial small subunit ribosomal RNA", at positions 524 to 776 of the family's 1533-position model. The record is from RNAcentral.
GACGAACCGUACGAACGUUAUUCGGAAUCACUGGGCUUAAAGGGUGCGUAGGCGGCGCGACAAGUCGGGUGUGAAAUCCCUCGGCUCAACCGAGGAACUGCGCCCAAAACUGUCGUGCUCGAGGGAGACAGAGGUGAGCGGAACUUAGGGUGGAGCGGUGAAAUGCGUUGAUAUCCUAAGGAACACCGGUGGCGAAAGCGGCUCACUGGGUCUCUUCUGACGCUGAGGCACGAAAGCUAGGGUAGCGAACGGG